RNAcentral lists this ribosomal RNA (423 nucleotides) under uncultured prokaryote. RNAcentral's name for it is "bacterial SSU rRNA". It matches the Rfam family "Bacterial small subunit ribosomal RNA", at positions 355 to 774 of the family's 1533-position model. The record is from RNAcentral.
UGAGGAAUAUUGCGCAAUGGGCGAAAGCCUGACGCAGCAACGCCGCGUGGGUGAUGAAGGCCUUCGGGUCGUAAAGCCCUGUCAGAGGGGACGAAAAUAUCCGGGUAACGCCGGAGACUGACGGUACCCUCAAAGGAAGCACCGGCUAACUCCGUGCCAGCAGCCGCGGUAAUACGGAGGGUGCAAGCGUUGUUCGGAAUCACUGGGCGUAAAGGGCGCGUAGGCGGUUUGAUAAGUCAGAUGUGAAAGCCCACGGCUUAACUGUGGAAGUGCAUUUGAAACUGUCAGACUUGAGUAUCAGAGGGGAAAGUGGAAUUCCCGGUGUAGAGGUGAAAUUCGUAGAUAUCGGGAGGAAUACCGGUGGCGAAGGCGACUUUCUGGCUGAAUACUGACGCUGAGGCGCGAAAGCGUGGGGAGCAAACA